Long non-coding RNA from Oncorhynchus tshawytscha (Chinook salmon), 1679 nucleotides. Lineage: Eukaryota; Metazoa; Chordata; Actinopteri; Salmoniformes; Salmonidae. The record is from Ensembl.
UUAAGAGCUUGUUUGUGGUUUUCUGAAACAUGAGACCUCUUUGCUGUUUUCCGUGUGUGUAGUGGAGGUUCAUAGGGAGCAGUGAGCUCAGUCGGUGAUGUCAGAAGUGGGCAGGUCUGUUUUGUAUUGGCUGUAAUGUAAUUGUCCGUAGCCUAUUCAGCUUCACUGUCUCAGAAGCUAUACGAAGGUGGCAUGUCUGCACAGUGGCUCAAAGUUACCCUCCCACCUGAACCACAGAACUUUGAACAGAUAGAGCAGUCUCUUCAUCGCUCCAUCUCAGUCCAUGGCAACUGUAGUGCCUUUUGCGUCCUGUUAUGGAAACAGCACUCUCCAUCAGCCUCUCCAACUCUUUGGGAAGGGCCCUAAGUGUGGCUACAUGUCCCUCAUCGCCUACCGUAGCCCUCGUAAUGUCCCCCGCCCGCGUUUGGCAUGCAAUGCCCCUAAAUUGACUCUAUGUCAGAUCUGCAGAAUGCUGCGUGUGAUGCGUUUUGAGGCUGCUACUGCAGCCAACAACAGGAAGCAAGCAUCUUCUCCACCACCACCUAGCUCUCCGGCCAAGUCAAACAGGAGAUGUCUGCCUUCCUGCUUUCGCCACAGACGUAAUACUAGUAACAUAAAGAGUUUUGGAUGAUAAUGGAUCCCAAGAGCCCACCCCUACCCUUCCAACAAUCCUUACCCAGCCGAUGGGAGUUCCCUUCACGUUUCCACACAAACCCGUACAGAGAAGCACAGACUCCAUGUCCCCAUGCUUCGUUUGUUGGGGGUAGGGGGGGGCACUCCUGAGACAAAGAAAACAUGUAUUUUGUGUACCAGUGACUGACAGACUCAGCUUCAACCACACCGAUUUAUUUUGUCUUGUGCGUAAUUUCAAAAGGUGAGACUCUGCUCACUGCAAAGGUCAGCCGGUAAUUAAACCUGUGGAAUGUUUCUAGGGGUCAGGAAAGGAGACCAAACUGUUUUUGGGGGUUUGGGUGUUGGGUUGUUUUCUUUUUUAGGUGUUUAAUUCUGGGUGUACAUUGCUAAACGGAAAGUGUAAUUGACUGACAUUGGCACUGUGAAAACCUGUAUUGGAUUUCUACUGUGGUUUCUUUAUUACAGUUUUGACUAUUUCAAUCAACUUAACUCCUCGUCUGUCGCAUUGGGCUGAUGUAAUAUUACGUGUUUGUUUGUUGUGUAAAUGUAAUCAAAUAGAUGACUGUCCAUUGAAGUGUAGACUCUGAGUUACAUGGUGGUAACAAAGACAGACCCAGUAGUUACAAUGGAACACACAUAGUACUUAGCACUUGCAUACCUGUUUGUGGCAGACAUCAUUUCAAGCAUUUGCCAAUUAAUUCCAAAUGGAGAUACGUAAUCAAAACAUUACAGUAAUUACUGACUUGGAGGUAGUUCUACUUACUUAGUUCUUGUCUAUCUCGUUCCACCCCAUGCCACAUCUUUUGGUAUCUGCUGCUAGCUCCCGCCUCCGGGUAUUUCGUGGACGCCCUGUUUUCCAUUUUCCUUAAGGGUUCCAGGAUAGAGCUGGAGGGAAGUUCAGGAACAAACAUAAUGAUGGAAAAAAACAUGAUGAAUUGUUUUGCAGUUGAGGUUCCAUUGUUUAAUUGAGUAAAUUAUUCCAAAAGACUCAUAUGAAUGAUCCUCAGGCAAAUUAAAGGCAGAGAGACACAAAGAAAGGGGAAGAA